Molecule: ribosomal RNA, 525 nt
Filed under: Selenomonas sputigena
Lineage: Bacteria; Bacillati; Bacillota; Negativicutes; Selenomonadales; Selenomonadaceae
Description: bacterial SSU rRNA
Rfam family: Bacterial small subunit ribosomal RNA
Source: RNAcentral
GUGCCAGCCGCCGCGGUAAUUCAUAGGUGGCGAGCGUUGUCCGGAAUUAUUGGGCGUAAAGGGAGCGCAGGCGGGCGUAUAAGUCCAUCUUAAAAGUGCGGGGCUCAACCCCGUGAGGGGAUGGAAACUGUAUGUCUUGAGUGCAGGAGAGGAAAGCGGAAUUCCCAGUGUAGCGGUGAAAUGCGUAGAUAUUGGGAGGAACACCAGUGGCGAAGGCGGCUUUCUGGACUGUAACUGACGCUGAGGCUCGAAAGCCAGGGGAGCGAACGGGAUUAGAUACCCCGGUAGUCCUGGCCGUAAACGAUGAGUGCUAGGUGUAGGAGGUAUCGACCCCUCCUGUGCCGGAGUUAACGCAAUAAGCAUUCCGCCUGGGGAGUACGGUCGCAAGACUGAAACUCAAAGGAAUUGACGGGGGCCCGCACAAGCGGUGGAGUAUGUGGUUUAAUUCGACGCAACGCGAAGAACCUUACCAGGGCUUGACAUUGAGUGAAAGAGCUAGAGAUAGCUUCCUCCCUUCGGGGACAC